UACGUAGGGGGCGAGCGUUAUCCGGAAUUAUUGGGCGUAAAGAGUGCGUAGGUGGUUUCCUAAGCGCGGGGUGAAAGGCUAUGGCUUAACCAUAGUUAGCCUUGCGAACUGGGAGACUUGAGUGCAGGAGGGGAAAGCGGAAUUCCUAGUGUAGCGGUGAAAUGCGUAGAUAUUAGGAGGAACACCAGUGGCGAAGGCGGCUUUCUGGACUGUAACUGACACUGAGGCACGAAAGUGUGGGGAGC
This 245-nucleotide ribosomal RNA is filed under the name uncultured Anaerovoracaceae bacterium. RNAcentral describes it as "uncultured Clostridiales Family XIII bacterium partial 16S ribosomal RNA". It matches the Rfam family "Bacterial small subunit ribosomal RNA", at positions 524 to 769 of the family's 1533-position model. The record is from RNAcentral. Lineage: Bacteria; Bacillati; Bacillota; Clostridia; Peptostreptococcales; Anaerovoracaceae.